UUAACCGACACCAUUACUGUAGUCGUUUUAUAGCUAGUGUUACGGACAUGCGACUCUGGACCGACCCGUUAGUAUACUAUAUUUAAAAUACAUCUUCAGUUGUUAGAGUCAACGUGAUAAAAGUUGGUUAUGAUAAAGAAAGGGACGUAAAGUUUGCACAGGCUCUAAUCGAGGAAACAGCUCUGCAAGGGAGUCAACUCAUGAGAGAGGGAGACGAUAUGGAAUUCGAAUGGCCCUUGACAUGUACACAGCCGGAACUAACAGUGGGUAAAACCUACUACAUCAUAGCGAAGAAAGGGACUUCUUUUACUGAAUACUAUGGAAUGACGAGAGUGAGGUAUCAACUGACGGGCACGGCACUCGUUAUCGACCCUGAAUUCAAACCGCUUCUUCGUAUUAUGAUGAACAAUUUCGUAAAAGAACUGAGGAAGAACAAUGGAUGCAUAAACUAAGCGUCGUAACAGUCAUUGAUACAGCUUGUUGUAUGUUCGAUGAAUACUAUAAUUACAAUAUAACGAUUGAUUGUGAACAAAUGUAGCCAAAUUAUAGUCAU
Molecule: long non-coding RNA, 553 nt
Organism: Dreissena polymorpha
Lineage: Eukaryota; Metazoa; Mollusca; Bivalvia; Myida; Dreissenidae
Exons: 3
Source: RefSeq, a predicted model, not a curated record